UGAGUAAUGUCUGGGAAACUGCCUGAUGGAGGGGGAUAACUACUGGAAACGGUAGCUAAUACCGCAUAACGUCGCAAGACCAAAGAGGGGGACCUUCGGGCCUCUUGCCAUCAAAUGUGCCCAAAUGGAAUUACCUACUAGGUGGGGUAAGGGCUCACCUAGGCGACGAUCCCUACUGGUCUGAAAGGAUGACCACCCCCCCUGGAACUGAAACACGGGUCAAAACUCCCUACGGGAAGGCACCAUUGGGGGAAAUAUUUGCACAAUGGGGCGCAAGCCCUGAAUGCCACCCUUGCCCGCGUGUGGUAAAAAAGGCCCUUCCGGGUUGUAAAGCACUUUUUCCGCGAGGAGGAAGGUGGUGAGCUUAAUACGCUCAUCAAUUGACGUUACUCGCAAAAGAAGCACCGGCUAAACUCCGUGCCAGCAGCCGCGGUAAUACCGGAAAUACCGGAGGGUUGCAAGCCGUUUAAUCCGAAAUUUCUGGGGCCGUAAAACCCCCCC
RNAcentral lists this ribosomal RNA (501 nucleotides) under uncultured bacterium. RNAcentral's name for it is "partial 16S ribosomal RNA". It matches the Rfam family "Bacterial small subunit ribosomal RNA", at positions 107 to 539 of the family's 1533-position model. The record is from RNAcentral.